Molecule: long non-coding RNA, 1047 nt
Organism: Danio aesculapii
Lineage: Eukaryota; Metazoa; Chordata; Actinopteri; Cypriniformes; Danionidae
Exons: 6
Source: RefSeq, a predicted model, not a curated record
AUAUUUUUAAAUCUUGGCGCGAGCAUGCAUUUAGGUUGUCAUGGUGACGCGCGCUCACACAACCGCACGUCAUGGCACUGCGCUGAACUCUGUCCAGACUGUGAAUGUGGUAUUAUCUUCGCGAUCUGUAGGCACUACGGAAACGAAAGGCGCAUAAUCAUAACUCAAAUAAUCUCCGCCUAAAUACAGAACGGUAUUUUCUGAUGACGGGCAAAAACUUAGCCUCAAAACGUAGCUGUCUGUCACACACAGCUUGUUGCAUGCUGAUCCAUACACGAGAGCCUAACGGAGAACAUUUAAGCUGUGCUCCUCACCUGAGCAGAAUUGAAGGUCGGUUGUUGCUGACUACAGAAAGAUUCUUAUAUGGAGGCAUGUAAAAGCAAGGAAAGUGAAACUUCAGCUAGACCUUGAGUUCAGUUUACAAUAUGAAGAUCCUGAUAUCAACAUCUGAUCUGAUCAACACCUGAUUUUCAUCUGAGCUGCAGAGUACCAACAUGUUACAAAUGAGAAUUUUCCCCACAAAUUCUUUGGACAACCGCACCACCACCUAUUUCAUUUGAUGACAAUUUUAAGGCAAACAGCAUCCAAAACUGACAAGACAGCAGAUACCCUGGCUAAUCUUUUGAAGGUUUAUGAUGAGCAGGAACUGCAUGAUGUCAGUUCAUGAUGGACCACUGUUAUCAGAGGUCUUUUGGUCUUGCUGCGUGAGCGUGACUGGGGAUUCUUUAGGACCACCCUGAUUAAUAAUCCUGAAGCGCUGACUGAAGAUGCUUUAUUGGCCCUGCAGUCACUGAGGGUCUCUGCUGUCCUGAAGAAUGAAUUGGACACCACCCACAGCACACUUCCAGACCUUUUUUGUCUUGUUUGGAUUUUAAUGUAUGCUCUUCACAUAGUAUAUAGUAAAGGACUUUGAACUUGUACAAAAAGUUUUGCUUGGCAUGGAUGAUAGAAAAUAGAAAGUCGAUUAGCAUAGAAUCCUUAAAGAAUGAGUUGAUGUAGAGCCUUUUUUUGUACUCAAUAAAGACUGUCACUGGGGUAGUAACUUCA